Molecule: transfer RNA, 72 nt
Filed under: Camelus bactrianus (Bactrian camel)
Lineage: Eukaryota; Metazoa; Chordata; Mammalia; Artiodactyla; Camelidae
Also listed under: 2 other names
Rfam family: tRNA
About the family: Transfer RNA (tRNA) molecules are approximately 80 nucleotides in length.
Source: Rfam by way of RNAcentral
GAGGGUAGAGCUCAGUGGUAGAGUGUGUGCUUAGCAUGUACAAGGUUGUGGGUUCAAUCCCCGGUACCUCCA